This 207-nucleotide ribosomal RNA is filed under the name uncultured bacterium. Its description in RNAcentral is "partial 16S ribosomal RNA". It matches the Rfam family "Bacterial small subunit ribosomal RNA", at positions 568 to 774 of the family's 1533-position model. The record is from RNAcentral.
CACGUAGGCGGAUAUUUAAGUCAGGGGUGAAAUCCCAGAGCUCAACUCUGGAACUGCCUUUGAUACUGGGUAUCUUGAGUAUGGAAGAGGUAAGUGGAAUUCCGAGUGUAGAGGUGAAAUUCGUAGAUAUUCGGAGGAACACCAGUGGCGAAGGCGGCUUACUGGUCCAUUACUGACGCUGAGGUGCGAAAGUGUGGGGAGCAAACA